Molecule: ribosomal RNA, 428 nt
Filed under: uncultured bacterium
Lineage: Bacteria
Description: partial 16S ribosomal RNA
Rfam family: Bacterial small subunit ribosomal RNA
Source: RNAcentral
GUGGGGAAUAUUGGGCAAUGGGCGAAAGCCUGACCCAGCAACGCCGCGUGAAGGAAGAAGGUCUUCGGAUUGUAAACUUCUGUCAUUGGGGACGAAGGAAGUGACGGUACCCGAUGAGGAAGCCCCGGCUAACUACGUGCCAGCAGCCGCGGUAAUACGUAGGGGGCGAGCGUUGUCCGGAAUUACUGGGCGUAAAGGGUGCGUAGGCGGCGAUGCAAGUCCAUUGUGAAAAGCCCGGGCUUAACCUGGGAGGUGCAGUGGAAACUGUAUGGCUUGAGUGCAGGAGAGGAAAGUGGAAUUCCUAGUGUAGCGGUGAAAUGCGUAGAUAUUAGGAGGAACACCAGUGGCGAAGGCGGCUUUCUGGACUGUAACUGACGCUGAGGCACGAAAGCGUGGGGAGCAAACAGGAUUAGAAACCCUGGUAGUCC